This is a non-coding RNA of Methanococcoides burtonii DSM 6242, 100 nucleotides long. NCBI's taxonomy places the organism in Archaea, Methanobacteriati, Methanobacteriota, Methanomicrobia, Methanosarcinales, Methanosarcinaceae. The record is from Rfam.
UAGGGACCUGAGACUUCCCUGUCCGCUCAGGGAAACAUCGCUUCCGACUGUGUCGGUGGUCAGGUAACAAGUGACAGCCACGAAGUAUCACAGCUCAACG